CGGACGGGUGAGUAACACGUGGAUAACCUACCUAUAAGACUGGGAUAACUUCGGGAAACCGGAGCUAAUACCGGAUAAUAUAUUGAACCGCAUGGUUCAGUAGUGAAAGACGGUUUUGCUGUCACUUAUAGAUGGAUCCGCGCCGCAUUAGCUAGUUGGUAAGGUAACGGCUUACCAAGGCAAUGAUGCGUAGCCGACCUGAGAGGGUGAUCGGCCACACUGGAACUGAGACACGGUCCAGACUCCUACGGGAGGCAGCAGGU
Molecule: ribosomal RNA, 263 nt
Filed under: uncultured Staphylococcus sp.
Lineage: Bacteria; Bacillati; Bacillota; Bacilli; Caryophanales; Staphylococcaceae
Description: partial 16S ribosomal RNA
Rfam family: Bacterial small subunit ribosomal RNA
Source: RNAcentral